Molecule: long non-coding RNA, 583 nt
Filed under: Homo sapiens (human)
Lineage: Eukaryota; Metazoa; Chordata; Mammalia; Primates; Hominidae
Description: HSALNT0200912
Source: RNAcentral
AUUGAUGGAGCCGUCAUUAUGCCCUCAACACCUCAUCCGAAGUAAUAUGGGACAAUAAGAGGUAUUAUUCUAUGCCAGAUAUUAUUCUGCCCAGUGGCGUUACUCUGUAACAGUGCAUAUUUGGGGCUUGAAAGGGGAAAGAUGAAGGUGUGCAAGGGACUCGCAAAGAGGAGAGCUUUUCUGGGACGGGGAAUCCUAGCCCAACAGGGGCAGCCGCUACCCAAGACUUCACAGUCAUCAUGUAGUUCAUCCAAGAGGCUGCCUUCCAGCAACUUCGAGAACAGAGUUGGGCAUUCCAAGCCUGGGAGACCCUGUCUCAGAACAUCUAGGCUCCCAGUGUGACAUCCAGGUGGAAAUACCCAAUAGAUGCCUUGGCAAAGUGAACCACGGGCUUCAGAGGAGUCAAGGCUAUAUCAAGGUCAACACCUCAUCCAGUGCUGUGCUGGGGGCAGCUCACACCAGCUCCAGGGAAGCAACUAUUAAAUAUUCUGAAAUUUUGCAAGCCAGUUGUUAACACAGCCAUUAAUAAAAAUUAAAUCAAAAGAAUUAAAUAAAUUAUAUUUUUGAAAAUGUAAUAAACUCU